CAUUAGCUGGUCUAAGAGGAUGAUCAGCCAGACUGGGAUUGAGACACGGCCCAGACUCCUACGGGAGGCAGCAGUAGGGAAUCUUCCACAAUGGGCGAAAGCCUGAUGGAGCAACGCCGCGUGCAGGAUGAAUGCCUUCGGGUUGUAAACUGCUUUUAUAUGUGAAGAUUAUGACGGUAGCAUAUGAAUAAGGAUCGGCUAACUCCGUGCCAGCAGCCGCGGUCAUACGGAGGAUCCAAGCGUUAUCCGGAAUUACUGGGCGUAAAGAGUUGCGUAGGCGGCAUUGCAAGUAGGUAGUGAAAUCCUGGGGCUCAACCCUUUAAACAUUAUCUAAACUGCAAAGCUAGAAUAUGAGAGAGGUCGCUAGAAUUCCUAGUGUAGGAGUGAAAUCCGUAGAUAUUAGGAGGAAUACCGAUGGCGUAGGCAGGCGACUGGCUCAUUAUUGACGCUAAGGCACGAAAGCGUGGGGAGCAAACGGGAUUAGAUACCCCGGUAGUCCACGCCGUAAACUAUGGAUGCUAGCUGUUAUGAGUAUCGACCCUCGUAGUAGCGAAGCUAACGCGUUAAGCAUCCCGCCUGUGGAGUACGAGCGCAAGCUUAAAACUUAAAGGAAUUGACGG
Molecule: ribosomal RNA, 620 nt
Filed under: uncultured microorganism
Description: bacterial SSU rRNA
Rfam family: Bacterial small subunit ribosomal RNA
Source: RNAcentral